GGUUAAGCGACUAAGCGUACACGGUGGAUGCCCUGGCAGUCAGAGGCGAUGAAGGACGUGCUAAUCUGCGAAAAGCGACGGCGAGGUGAUAUGAACCUUUGACCCGUCGAUGUCCGAAUGGGGAAACCCAGUGCAAUUCGUUGCACUAUCGUUAACUGAAUACAUAGGUUAACGAGGCGAACCGGGGGAACUGAAACAUCUAAGUACCCCGAGGAAAAGAAAUCAACCGAGAUUCCCCCAGUAGCGGCGAGCGAACGGGGAGCAGCCCGGAGUCUGAAUCAGCUUGUGUGUUAGUGGAACGGUCUGGAAAGUCCGACGGUACAGGGUGAUAGUCCCGUACACGAAAAUGCACUUGCUGUGAACUCGAAGAGUAGGGCGGGACACGUGGUAUCCUGUCUGAAUAUGGGGGGACCAUCCUCCAAGGCUAAAUACUCCUGACUGACCGAUAGUGAACCAGUACCGUGAGGGAAAGGCGAAAAGAACCCCGGCGAGGGGAGUGAAAAAGAACCUGAAACCGUGUACGUACAAGCAGUGGGAGCCUCUUUAUGGGGUGACUGCGUACCUUUUGUAUAAUGGGUCAGCGACUUAUAUUCUGUAGCAAGGUUAACCGUAUAGGGGAGCCGAAGGGAAACCGAGUCUUAACUGGGCGUUAAGUUGCAGGGUAUAGACCCGAAACCCGGUGAUCUAGCCAUGGGCAGGUUGAAGGUUGGGUAACACUAACUGGAGGACCGAACCGACUAAUGUUGAAAAAUUAGCGGAUGACCUGUGGCUGGGGGUGAAAGGCCAAUCAAACCGGGAGAUAGCUGGUUCUCCCCGAAAGCUAUUUAGGUAGCGCCUCGUGAACUCAUCUUCGGGGGUAGAGCACUGUUUCGGCUAGGGGGCCAUCCCGGCUUACCAACCCGAUGCAAACUACGAAUACCGAAGAAUGUUAUCACGGGAGACACACGGCGGGUGCUAACGUCCGUCGUGAAGAGGGAAACAACCCAGACCGCCAGCUAAGGUCCCAAAGUCAUGGUUAAGUGGGAAACGAUGUGGGAAGGCACAGACAGCCAGGAUGUUGGCUUAGAAGCAGCCAUCAUUUAAAGAAAGCGUAAUAGCUCACUGGUCGAGUCGGCCUGCGCGGAAGAUGUAACGGGGCUAAACCAUGCACCGAAGCUGCGGCAGCGACGCUUAUGCGUUGUUGGGUAGGGGAGCGUUCUGUAAGCCGUUGAAGGUGUGCUGUGAGGCAUGCUGGAGGUAUCAGAAGUGCGAAUGCUGACAUAAGUAACGAUAAAGCGGGUGAAAAGCCCGCUCGCCGGAAGACCAAGGGUUCCUGUCCAACGUUAAUCGGGGCAGGGUGAGUCGACCCCUAAGGCGAGGCCGAAAGGCGUAGUCGAUGGGAAACAGGUUAAUAUUCCUGUACUUGGUGUUACUGCGAAGGGGGGACGGAGAAGGCUAUGUCAGCCGGGCGACGGUUGUCCCGGUUUAAGCAUGUAGGCGGAGGUUCCAGGUAAAUCCGGUACCUUGUUAACGCUGAGGUGUGAUGACGAGGCACUACGGUGCUGAAGUGAUAAAUGCCCUGCUUCCAGGAAAAGCCUCUAAGCAUCAGGUAACACGAAAUCGUACCCCAAACCGACACAGGUGGUCAGGUAGAGAAUACCAAGGCGCUUGAGAGAACUCGGGUGAAGGAACUAGGCAAAAUGGUGCCGUAACUUCGGGAGAAGGCACGCUGAUAUGUAGGUGAAGCCCCUGCGGGCGGAGCUGAAAUCAGUCGAAGAUACCAGCUGGCUGCAACUGUUUAUUAAAAACACAGCACUGUGCAAACACGAAAGUGGACGUAUACGGUGUGACGCCUGCCCGGUGCCGGAAGGUUAAUUGAUGGGGUUAGCGGCAACGCGAAGCUCUUGAUCGAAGCCCCGGUAAACGGCGGCCGUAACUAUAACGGUCCUAAGGUAGCGAAAUUCCUUGUCGGGUAAGUUCCGACCUGCACGAAUGGCGUAAUGAUGGCCAGGCUGUCUCCACCCGAGACUCAGUGAAAUUGAACUCGCUGUGAAGAUGCAGUGUACCCGCGGCAAGACGGAAAGACCCCGUGAACCUUUACUAUAGCUUGACACUGAACACUGGUCCUUGAUGUGUAGGAUAGGUGGGAGGCUUUGAAGCGUGGACGCCAGUCUGCGUGGAGCCGCCCUUGAAAUACCACCCUUUAAUGGCUGGUGUUCUAACGUAGACCCGUGAUCCGGGUUGCGGACAGUGUCUGGUGGGUAGUUUGACUGGGGCGGUCUCCUCCCAAAGAGUAACGGAGGAGCACGAAGGUUGGCUAAUCCUGGUCGGACAUCAGGAGGUUAGUGCAAUGGCAUAAGCCAGCUUGACUGCGAGCGUGACGGCGCGAGCAGGUGCGAAAGCAGGUCAUAGUGAUCCGGUGGUUCUGAAUGGAAGGGCCAUCGCUCAACGGAUAAAAGGUACUCCGGGGAUAACAGGCUGAUACCGCCCAAGAGUUCAUAUCGACGGCGGUGUUUGGCACCUCGAUGUCGGCUCAUCACAUCCUGGGGCUGAAGUAGGUCCCAAGGGUAUGGCUGUUCGCCAUUUAAAGUGGUACGCGAGCUGGGUUUAGAACGUCGUGAGACAGUUCGGUCCCUAUCUGCCGUGGGCGC
Molecule: ribosomal RNA, 2630 nt
Filed under: Enterobacter cloacae subsp. cloacae GS1
Lineage: Bacteria; Pseudomonadati; Pseudomonadota; Gammaproteobacteria; Enterobacterales; Enterobacteriaceae
Description: bacterial LSU rRNA
Rfam family: Bacterial large subunit ribosomal RNA
Source: RNAcentral